Molecule: non-coding RNA, 175 nt
Filed under: Aliivibrio fischeri
Lineage: Bacteria; Pseudomonadati; Pseudomonadota; Gammaproteobacteria; Vibrionales; Vibrionaceae
Also listed under: 1 other name
Description: Vibrio fischeri Lysine sequence
Rfam family: Lysine riboswitch aptamer
About the family: Riboswitches are metabolite binding domains within certain messenger RNAs that serve as precision sensors for their corresponding targets. Allosteric rearrangement of mRNA structure is mediated by ligand binding, and this results in modulation of gene expression.
Source: RNAcentral
AUAUAAAGAAGAGGAGCAUUACCUAGGUAGCUUAAUUUGUGGAGCCCAAACUCCUACACAAAUAAGUGAGGGAGAGUAAUGCCGAGAUGAUCCUAUUGGGAGUAGGAUUGUCGGUCGUUUAGGCUGAAUCCUAACGAUUGUCACUUAAUUUAUUAAGUGAAGAGCUUCUAGCAAA